Molecule: long non-coding RNA, 327 nt
Filed under: Homo sapiens (human)
Lineage: Eukaryota; Metazoa; Chordata; Mammalia; Primates; Hominidae
Description: HSALNT0369041
Source: RNAcentral
CUCAGCCUCCCGAGUAGCUGGGAUUACAGAGGUGAGGGUCUCACUACAUUGUCCAGCCUAGUCUUGAACUCCUGGCCUCAAGAACCGUCUCACCUUGGACUCCUAAAACUGCUGGGAUUACAGAUGAAGAGGCUCUCCAUUCCACAUUCCCCACUGAUUUGAAGAGAUUCUCCAUGUUGGUCAGGCUGGUCUCGAACUCCUGACCUCAGGUGAUCCACCUGCCUCGGCCUCCCAAAGUGCUGGGAUUACAGACGUGAGCCACCGUGCCAGGCCCAUAUCCCCCUCCUGAUAAGACCCUCAGCUGCCAAUUUCUUGGAUUCUGUCUUU